Molecule: long non-coding RNA, 394 nt
Organism: Sarcophilus harrisii (Tasmanian devil)
Lineage: Eukaryota; Metazoa; Chordata; Mammalia; Dasyuromorphia; Dasyuridae
Exons: 3
Source: RefSeq, a predicted model, not a curated record
AGCACUUAGCUGGGGUGAUCUGAAAGGGGGGAUGGGAGCGGUGUAGGAAGCACUUAGCUGGAGGUGAUACUGAGAAGGGGGGAUGGGAGCGGUGUACGGAGCACUUAGCUGGAGGUGAUACUGAGAAGGGGGGAUGGGAGCGGUGUAGGAAGCACUUAGCUGGAGGUGAUGCUGAGAGGAGGGGAUGGAGCGGUGUAGGAAGCACUUAGCUGGAGGUGAUACGAUGGUGCGGUGUACAGAGCACUUAGCUGGAGGUGAUACUGAGAAGGGGAUGGGAGCGGUGUACGGAGCACUUAGCUGGAGGUGAUGCUGAGAAGGGGGGAUGGAGCGGUGUAGGGAAGCACUUAGCUGGAGGUGAUGCUGAGAAGGGGGAUGGAGCGGUGUAGGAAGCACU